Ipomoea nil (Japanese morning glory) is the source of this 510-nucleotide long non-coding RNA. RefSeq lists it as uncharacterized. The transcript is spliced from 4 exons. Lineage: Eukaryota; Viridiplantae; Streptophyta; Magnoliopsida; Solanales; Convolvulaceae. The record is from RefSeq and is a predicted model, not a curated record.
UAUGAGAUUGUAUAAUUUGUUCUAGUUUUACGGGUGAUUUUUGCAGAUUGACAGCAAGAUUUUUUGACUCUGGUGACAGUAAAGGUUUAAGCAGAAACAGUACAGGUUAUUUAUUUAUUUAAAUUUUCACAGUGUAAGGUGUUAGAUCUGCCAUCAUUCAAGCAUUGCCUGGAAUAAGGAAAGGUUGAGAAGGAUUGGGGUAAGCAGAUUGACAGCAAGAUUUUUUGACUCUGGUGACAAUAAAGGUUUAAGCAGAAACAGUACAGGUUAUUUAUUUAUUUAAAUUUUUAGUUUUCAUUUAUCUAACAUUGUACUAACUAGAACAGAGUAUCCCUAGCUUGUGGUUGAGAAGGAUUGGAGUAAGCAGGUUGUAUUAAAGGCUAAGUGGAAGGUGGAAAAUAAAGAACUUGAAGAAUUGAACAGUGAAACUAAUAGGAAAUUAACAGAGUGCCAGAUUCUUUGUUCGGUUGCUCUAUUAAUUACCAUUGGUUGUUAUUGAAAAUAAAAAUC